UACGUAGGGUGCGAGCGUUGUCCGGAAUUAUUGGGCGUAAAGGGCGCGUAGGCGGCCUUCUAAGUCGGACGUGAAAUCCCUCGGCUCAACCGAGGAACUGCGUCCGAUACUGAAAGGCUUGAAUCCGGGAGAGGGAUGUGGAAUUCCAGGUGUAGCGGUGAAAUGCGUAGAUAUCUGGAGGAACACCGGUGGCGAAGGCGGCAUCCUGGACCGGCAUUGACGCUGAGGCGCGAAAGCUAGGGGAGCAAACGGG
This 253-nucleotide ribosomal RNA is filed under the name uncultured bacterium. RNAcentral's name for it is "partial 16S ribosomal RNA". It matches the Rfam family "Bacterial small subunit ribosomal RNA", at positions 524 to 776 of the family's 1533-position model. The record is from RNAcentral.